CGCUGGCGGCGUGCCUAACACAUGCAAGUCGAACGGGGUUAUACCGAUUAAUCUUCGGAAGCGUUGAUAUAACUUAGUGGCGGACGGGUGAGUAACACGUGAGCAACCUGCCUUUCAGAGGGGGAUACCGUUUGGAAACGAACGUUAAUACCGCAUAACGUAUCGGUACCGCAUGAUACUGAUACCAAAGGAGCGAUCCGCUGAAAGAUGGGCUCGCGGCUGAUUAGAUAGUUGGUGGGGUAACGGCCUACCAAGUCAACGAUCAGUAGCCGGACUGAGAGGUUGAACGGCCACAUUGGGACUGAGACACGGCCCAGACUCCUACGGGAGGCAGCAGUGGGGAGUAUUGCGCAAUGGGGGCAACCCUGACGCAGCAACGCCGCGUGUGGGAAGAAGGUCUUCGGAUUGUAAACCAUUGUCUUCGGUGACGAUAAUGACGGUAGCCGAGGAGGAAGCUCCGGCUAACUACGUGCCAGCCGCGGC
Molecule: ribosomal RNA, 483 nt
Filed under: uncultured bacterium
Lineage: Bacteria
Description: bacterial SSU rRNA
Rfam family: Bacterial small subunit ribosomal RNA
Source: RNAcentral